This 76-nucleotide transfer RNA is filed under the name Ignavibacteria bacterium. RNAcentral describes it as "tRNA-Thr". It matches the Rfam family "tRNA". Rfam says of the family: Transfer RNA (tRNA) molecules are approximately 80 nucleotides in length. Their secondary structure includes four short double-helical elements and three loops (D, anti-codon, and T loops). Further hydrogen bonds mediate the characteristic L-shaped molecular structure. tRNAs have two regions of fundamental functional importance: the anti-codon, which is responsible for specific mRNA codon recognition, and the 3' end, to which the tRNAs corresponding amino acid is attached (by aminoacyl-tRNA synthetases). tRNAs cope with the degeneracy of the genetic code in two manners: having more than one tRNA (with a specific anti-codon) for a particular amino acid; and 'wobble' base-pairing, i.e. permitting non-standard base-pairing at the 3rd anti-codon position. Lineage: Bacteria; Pseudomonadati; Ignavibacteriota; Ignavibacteria. The record is from RNAcentral.
GCUGGCAUAGCUCAGUUGGUAGAGCAGUUGAUUUGUAAUCAACCGGUCGGGGGUUCAAAUCCCUCUGCCAGCUCAA